UUUGCUGUGAGAAUAAUAUGUAUAUAAACUAAAUAUAUCCCCUGUCAUUCACAUUGCUGUGGCUUUUUUGGGUAAUGUUGAUCACUAAUUUGGCUCCUGAACCACUGAGGUCAGAGUAUCUUC
Molecule: non-coding RNA, 123 nt
Organism: Chelonoidis abingdonii (Abingdon island giant tortoise)
Lineage: Eukaryota; Metazoa; Chordata; Testudines; Testudinidae
Source: RefSeq, a predicted model, not a curated record